UGAGAGCACAUCCGGUGUUGAAAGAGCUGGGUAGGCUCCUGAAGUGUUAAGCAGAGAGGAGACUAUGUCAUACAGACUUUGGAGCCAUGGACGUAUUUGAUCGGAAGAUCAAUUUUGAUGCACUUUUAAAAUUCUCCCAUAUAACUCCCUCGACACAGCAGCACCUGAAGAAGGUCUAUGCCAGUUUUGCCCUCUGUAUGUUUGUGGUGGCUGCGGGGACCUAUGUCCAUAUGGUCACUCAUUUCACCCAGGCUGGCCUGAGCCCUGCUCUGGAAUUGUGCAUUGCUAUUAAUCCCAGCAUCCUUCCCACUGCCUUCAUGGGUACCGCAUCAUCAUCACCUGUUUCACCCUCAGUGCUCUCUAUGCAAGGCGCUGGAGCUACCUCUGUCUGGGAGGUAUUUUGAUGUCAGCCUUGAACCUGAUGCUUUUGUCUUCCCUGGGGAACCUUUUCUUGGAUCUGUUUAGCUUUUCCAGGCAAACCUAUAUAUGGGACUGGUGGUCAUGUGUGGCUUUGUCCUUUUUGAUACUCAACUCAUUAUUGAAAAGGCUGAAAUGGAGAUAAAUAUUACAUCUGGCACUGUGUUGAUCUCUUCUUGGAUUUUGUUACUCUCUUUUGAAAACUCAUGAUGAUCUUGGCUAUGAAUGAGAAGGACAAGAAGAAAGAGAAGUGAAAUGAACAUCCAGCC
Perognathus longimembris pacificus (Pacific pocket mouse) is the source of this 686-nucleotide RNA transcript. It is a transcript of the gene named bax inhibitor 1-like, with no coding region annotated. NCBI's taxonomy places the organism in Eukaryota, Metazoa, Chordata, Mammalia, Rodentia, Heteromyidae. The record is from RefSeq and is a predicted model, not a curated record. The transcript has a single exon.